This 802-nucleotide ribosomal RNA is filed under the name uncultured bacterium. RNAcentral's name for it is "bacterial SSU rRNA". It matches the Rfam family "Bacterial small subunit ribosomal RNA", at positions 58 to 843 of the family's 1533-position model. The record is from RNAcentral.
CAAGUCGAGGGGCAUCGGGGAGCGAAGCUUGCUUUGCUCCGCCGGCGACCGGCGCACGGGUGAGUAACGCGUAUGCAACCUGCCCGUUUCAGCGGGAUAACCCGGAGAAAUCCGGCCUAAUACCGCAUGUGGCCGAGGGAAGGCAUCUUCUUUCGGCCAAAGGAGGCGACUCCGGAGACGGAUGGGCAUGCGUGACAUUAGCUUGUUGGCGGGGUAACGGCCACCAAGGCGACGAUGUCUAGGGGUUCUGAGAGGAAGGUCCCCCACACUGGUACUGAGACACGGACCAGACUCCUACGGGAGGCAGCAGUGAGGAAUAUUGGUCAAUGGGCGAGAGCCUGAACCAGCCAAGUCGCGUGAAGGAUGACGGCCCUACGGGUUGUAAACUUCUUUUGUCAGGGAGCAAUUGGGUCCACGCGUGGGCUUAGCGAGAGUACCUGAAGAAAAAGCAUCGGCUAACUCCGUGCCAGCAGCCGCGGUAAUACGGAGGAUGCGAGCGUUAUCCGGAUUUAUUGGGUUUAAAGGGUGCGCAGGCGGAAUGUCAAGUCAGCGGUAAAAUUUCGGGGCUCAACCCCGUCGUGCCGUUGAAACUGGCGUUCUUGAGUGAGCGAGAAGUAUGCGGAAUGCGUGGUGUAGCGGUGAAAUGCAUAGAUAUCACGCAGAACUCCGAUUGCGAAGGCAGCAUACCGGCGCUCAACUGACGCUCAUGCACGAAAGCGUGGGUAUCGAACAGGAUUAGAUACCCUGGUAGUCCACGCAGUAAACGAUGAAUACUAACUGUCCGGGCAGAAUGAUGCCUGGG